AGGAAUAUGAAGCUCAAAUGAAAGCUGCUAACUUUUUAUUUUAAUGGUUAGAAUCCAUUAAUAUUCCU
Molecule: transfer RNA, 68 nt
Filed under: Orophyllus montanus
Lineage: Eukaryota; Metazoa; Arthropoda; Insecta; Orthoptera; Tettigoniidae
Description: tRNA-Ser
Source: RNAcentral